Molecule: small nuclear RNA, 275 nt
Filed under: Neotoma lepida (desert woodrat)
Lineage: Eukaryota; Metazoa; Chordata; Mammalia; Rodentia; Cricetidae
Description: 7SK RNA
Rfam family: 7SK RNA
About the family: 7SK was discovered as an abundant small nuclear RNA in the mid-70s but a possible function has only recently been suggested. Two independent studies have found that 7SK RNA binds the CDK9/cyclin T complex (known as elongation factor P-TEFb).
Source: Rfam by way of RNAcentral
GGUUAUGUGAGGUGAUUUGGCUAUGAUACUUGAUACCCCCGUUAACUGUUGGGGCCCAUUUGGCUUGUCUGGCUAGUGAGUUCUGGUGUCCCCUUCACCUCUCGUACUUCUUGGUGGGAGAAGACAGCCUUCCUUCUGCCAAGGGUGUACGAGCAGCUGUGCUCCCAUAUGCUAGAACCUUCAGACAAGCUUUCAAAGGCCACCAUUGGGUAGGUAGCCAAGCUUCCAAGACUCCAGCUCAUCCAAAUGAGGCCCUGCACAGGGUGUCUCCAUUU